This is a long non-coding RNA of Colletes gigas, 929 nucleotides long. RefSeq lists it as uncharacterized. The record is from RefSeq and is a predicted model, not a curated record. The transcript is spliced from 3 exons. NCBI's taxonomy places the organism in Eukaryota, Metazoa, Arthropoda, Insecta, Hymenoptera, Colletidae.
CAAGUAUUCAAGUAUAUUACGGUGCAAUUAGGUUAAACAUUACCGUUACACGAAACGAAGAAACGAAUAGUGGCAAUGUUAUAGAAUUUUUGGAAACCGAGCGAACACAUUGGUAUAUAAAACAAUGUUUACCUUAUUAUCGAUGAGUUCGGUUGGCGUGUCGGGGUGCGCGCGUACGAUCGCCGGUUCCGAUUGAGAACGAAACGAAGAGGGAAGAAGAAACGGGGAACAAGGUCGAGGAGAGCUGGGCGAGGAAAGAAACGGAACUUACAGUCUAAUAGGUGGACGUCACGACCUCGACGAGGCGUUUUUUUUAAUGGCACCGAGCUUAAAAUGUAGGGGUCGAUCAGUGUAAACAAAUCUUUGAACAUCGACCGCCAAUGGGAAACGUUUGCAUCGAAGUCAACAUUCCUGCACGGAGUUAAAAUGUCUUUUCAUUUUUUAAAAAGUAUGGUGUACCCGGUGCAUCCUCCCACUCAUGGGCCCCUGGCAUAGAAAUUUGAUACGACUGCCAUUACGAUUUUUAGUACGAGAUGAUAUGAGAAAUCGUAACGCGUUACAGACAGAAUCUAUACUAGAACAACCCCAAGGUAACUAUGUCUCUGGACAGGUGUAGGGGCCUCCAAAAGACAAGCAACUUCUUUGGAUCUGAAAGACACUGAAAUCAUCAAAGACAUUAACACUGUAAACGAUUUACCAUCAGCAGGUAACGUUCCAAGAGCUGCGUAUCCUCAUCCACGUGAGCCGGGAAGCGACGAUCCAGGUCGCGACUUCCUCCCAACGAGUAAAGAAAAAAAAAAAAUAAAAAAUAAAAAUAACGUAGAAAACGAAACGUAGUAGACGGGAAGAAAGAGGACAAGGAUCGGUACAGAGACGUCGAGGUGAAUACGAUAUCACUGAUAUGCAUGUAGGGGGACUUUGGGCUCGAU